This 39-nucleotide ribosomal RNA is filed under the name Pochonia chlamydosporia. RNAcentral describes it as "partial 28S ribosomal RNA". Lineage: Eukaryota; Fungi; Ascomycota; Sordariomycetes; Hypocreales; Clavicipitaceae. The record is from RNAcentral.
UACCCGCUGAAACUUAAGCAUAUCAAUAAGCGGGGAGAA